This 732-nucleotide ribosomal RNA is filed under the name uncultured bacterium. RNAcentral describes it as "bacterial SSU rRNA". It matches the Rfam family "Bacterial small subunit ribosomal RNA", at positions 35 to 762 of the family's 1533-position model. The record is from RNAcentral.
GCUGGCGGCAGGCCUAACACAUGCAAGUCGAGCGGUAGAGAGAAGCUUGCUUCUCUUGAGAGCGGCGGACGGGUGAGUAAUGCCUAGGAAUCUGCCUGGUAGUGGGGGAUAACGUUCGGAAACGGACGCUAAUACCGCAUACGUCCUAUGGGAGAAAGCAGGGGACCUUCGGGCCUUGCGCUAUCAGAUGAGCCUAGGUCGGAUUAGCUAGUUGGUGAGGUAAUGGCUCACCAAGGCGACGAUCCGUAACUGGUCUGAGAGGAUGAUCAGUCACACUGGAACUGAGACACGGUCCAGACUCCUACGGGAGGCAGCAGUGGGGAAUAUUGGACAAUGGGCGAAAGCCUGAUCCAGCCAUGCCGCGUGUGUGAAGAAGGUCUUCGGAUUGUAAAGCACUUUAAGUUGGGAGGAAGGGUUGUAGAUUAAUACUCUGCAAUUUUGACGUUACCGACAGAAUAAGCACCGGCUAACUCUGUGCCAGCAGCCGCGGUAAUACAGAGGGUGCAAGCGUUAAUCGGAAUUACUGGGCGUAAAGCGCGCGUAGGUGGUUUGUUAAGUUGGAUGUGAAAUCCCCGGGCUCAACCUGGGAACUGCAUUCAAAACUGACUGACUAGAGUAUGGUAGAGGGUGGUGGAAUUUCCUGUGUAGCGGUGAAAUGCGUAGAUAUAGGAAGGAACACCAGUGGCGAAGGCGACCACCUGGACUAAUACUGACACUGAGGUGCGAAAGCGU